Molecule: ribosomal RNA, 203 nt
Filed under: uncultured bacterium
Lineage: Bacteria
Description: partial 16S ribosomal RNA
Source: RNAcentral
GACGAACGCUGGCGGCGUGCUUAACACAUGCAAGUCGAGCGGUAAGGCCCUUUCGGGGUACGACGAGCGGCGAACGGGUAGGAGUAACAACGUGGGUGGACCUCGCCUUUAGUCUCUGGGAGUAAGCCUGGGAAACGUAGGGUCGUAAUAACCGGAGUAUGACCCUACUGGCGCAUGUUGUGGGGUGGAAAGCCUUGUGCGGC